GGAUACUUAGAGAAACUCUGUCUCAAAAAACAUAGAAAGACAGAGUACACACAAGAAGAAAAGUAACUGCACUGGAUCCCAAAGACAGGGGUGGACCUCUUUCUUAAUGUCCAGUGUCCUUUGUCUUAAGAUUUGGUGCAAUAAGU
Small nucleolar RNA from Microtus ochrogaster (prairie vole), 146 nucleotides. Ensembl annotates it as predicted gene, 22588. The record is from Ensembl. Lineage: Eukaryota; Metazoa; Chordata; Mammalia; Rodentia; Cricetidae.